Erigeron canadensis is the source of this 380-nucleotide long non-coding RNA. RefSeq lists it as uncharacterized. NCBI's taxonomy places the organism in Eukaryota, Viridiplantae, Streptophyta, Magnoliopsida, Asterales, Asteraceae. The transcript has 2 exons. The record is from RefSeq and is a predicted model, not a curated record.
GGAGAUACGGUUUGAAAGUUAUAAUCGUUUAAAAAUCCAGCUGAACGAGGACAAAGUUGCGUCACACCUCCCAAAAGUUGCGGCGUAACUUUCGGUUGCUUAAUUGAUUAAAGGAAGGGAAGAGUGAUUUGAUUUGUGGUGUUAUCAUACUCAAUUGAUUAGAAAUCUGCAAAGGGAUUAAAGAAAGAAGAUGGUGAUUGAAAAGAAAGAGAAAGACAAUGAGAAAAUGGAAGCCACGUGUUUGAGUGUGAUUGGAUUAGACUAACCGUGUGUUUUGCACUUGUAUAACACGGGUAUAUUGUUUAAAUUUGUUAGUUUUUAAAACAUGUUCAUUUUAUAAAAUAGUCUUUUUUUUAUUUAUUAAAGUAAUUUUCCCUUCA